AUACUUAACUGGCAGAGGAGAUGUUACAAUCAUGAAGACGGUUUUCCCAGGGGUGAGGCUGACCCACUGAAUUCUACAUGUGAUGGCACCAGCAAUUUCCCCAAAUGUGGGCAACUCGGCUGCAUAACUCAUGGUAGUUGUGGACUUCAUUCAUACUCUCCUUUG
Molecule: small nuclear RNA, 165 nt
Organism: Cricetulus griseus (Chinese hamster)
Lineage: Eukaryota; Metazoa; Chordata; Mammalia; Rodentia; Cricetidae
Gene: U1
Rfam family: U1 spliceosomal RNA
About the family: U1 is a small nuclear RNA (snRNA) component of the spliceosome (involved in pre-mRNA splicing). Its 5' end forms complementary base pairs with the 5' splice junction, thus defining the 5' donor site of an intron. There are significant differences in sequence and secondary structure between metazoan and yeast U1 snRNAs, the latter being much longer (568 nucleotides as compared to 164 nucleotides in human).
Source: Ensembl